Marasmius sp. AFHP31 is the source of this 89-nucleotide non-coding RNA. The record is from the annotation of a GenBank genome assembly. Lineage: Eukaryota; Fungi; Basidiomycota; Agaricomycetes; Agaricales; Marasmiaceae.
UCCCUGGUAGUAUAUCGGUUAGUACACGCGCCUGUCAUCAGGAAGAGCAACUCCCGCGCGAAAGCUGGGUUCGACUCCCAGCCAGGGAG